This 160-nucleotide ribosomal RNA is filed under the name uncultured Lactobacillus sp. RNAcentral describes it as "partial 16S ribosomal RNA". It matches the Rfam family "Bacterial small subunit ribosomal RNA", at positions 355 to 507 of the family's 1533-position model. The record is from RNAcentral. Lineage: Bacteria; Bacillati; Bacillota; Bacilli; Lactobacillales; Lactobacillaceae.
UAGGGAAUCUUCCACAAUGGACGAAAGUCUGAUGGAGCAACGCCGCGUGAGUGAAGAAGGGUUUCGGCUCGUAAAACUCUGUUGUUGGUGAAGAAGGAUAGAGGUAGUAACUGGCCUUUAUUUGACGGUAAUCAACCAGAAAGUCACGGCUAACUACGUG